RNAcentral lists this transfer RNA (91 nucleotides) under Felis catus (domestic cat). It matches the Rfam family "tRNA". Rfam says of the family: Transfer RNA (tRNA) molecules are approximately 80 nucleotides in length. RNAcentral also lists the same sequence under 4 other names. Lineage: Eukaryota; Metazoa; Chordata; Mammalia; Carnivora; Felidae. The record is from Rfam by way of RNAcentral.
GCCUGGGUGGCUUAAUUGGUUAAGCAUCUGACUGUUGAUCUCAGCUCAGAUCUUGAUCUCAGGGUUGUGAGUUCAAGUCCCAUGUUGGGCU